This 1046-nucleotide long non-coding RNA is filed under the name Nicotiana benthamiana. RNAcentral's name for it is "long non-coding RNA (NBEN_LNC033670)". The record is from RNAcentral. Lineage: Eukaryota; Viridiplantae; Streptophyta; Magnoliopsida; Solanales; Solanaceae.
UCAAAUUACGGGUCCGGGGUAUGUUUUCCCAAAAUAUUGACCGAAGUCAAAUUUAUUCAACUUAAUAUUUUGGUAUUUUUCCCACGGAAUUCAUAUUUAAUCUUUUACGGCUACGCGCUCGAACUGCACACGCAAAUCGAGGCAAUACUAGAUGAGAUUUUCAAGGCCCCAAAAGUACAAAAUGGGUAAAAAAAACAAGUGAUGACCCCUUCGGAUCAUCACAUCCUCCACCACUAAAUUAACCAUUCGUCCUCGAACGGACAAAAGAAGGAAGUACCUGAGUCGGGAAAAAGAUGAGGAUAACGGCUCCGCAUAUCAGAUUCGGACUCCCAGGUCGAUGCCUCGGGAGACUGACCUCUCCACUUGACACGAACAGAAGGAAAACUCUUAGACCUCAACUGACAAACUUUUUGGUCUAGAAUAUCUACCGGCUCCUCCUCAUAAGACAAGUCUUUGUCCAACUGGACAAUGCUGAAAUCUAACACGUGGGUUGGGUCGUCAUUAUACCUCCGGAGCAUGGAUACAUGAAAAAUGGGAUGCAUGUCUGAUAAGCUGGGCGGCAAUGCAAGUCUAUAAGCUACUUUUCCCACCCGAUCAAGAAUCUCAAAUGGAGCAAUGAACCUAGGGCUAAGGUUGCCCUUCUUUCCAAAUCACGGCUGUCAUAGGUGACACUGGAGCAAUACCCGCUCACCAACUAUAAAUGCCAUAUCUCGACCUUGCGUUCUGCAUAACUCUUUUGCCUAGACUGAGCUGAAUGAAGCCUAUGUUGAAUGAUCUUGUCCUUGUCCAAGGCCUCUUGAAUCAAAUCUGUACCUAACAACCGAGCUUCUCCUGGCUCAAACCGUCCAAAUAACCAAAUCCUAGCUAAUACCAGCGAGCACACACCCUACAAACUAGAACUCAAGAAGCAUGCACGAAGAUUGAUGAAGCAUAAGGGAACUAUCAAACAAGUCAAACUAGCACAAAUUUUCUAAAACACUAAUCUACAAACAUCUAACAAGAAGGAAUGAAACAUAUAAAAUACUCACAAGGAUCUUAUACUGAUA